GUGAGCCUGUAUGCAGCAGCUGCUGCAGCAGAAGCUUCGAAACAUCUCCAAACAGUUUCAUAUUGGGUGCACCCAGCUGCAGCUCAUCCAUCUCUCAACAAAAUUUGCCUCAAAACAUGCUACAUCAUAGGUCACAUGCACUAUCCACCCUAACACCUUCUGGUAGUCAUGCCUAGUAUUAGUCCUCUAUCGCCGUUAGUUAACACUACAAGACAUUGCUGCAGCAGCAGUCCUCCACAAGCAGCUUGUGAGCCUGUAUGCAGCAAAGAUCAGGCAGGGGCAUACAGUAGCACCUUUGUCAGACCAUCAUGAACUGCAAUGACUGUGAUGUGGAACUUAGAAUGCAGUUUUUUGCCACACACCUUACUACUGCUUUAAUCUUCCACUGACUCUGCGUGCUGAUGUGUGGUGGGGAAAGCAUGUGGUGUUGUCCACAGCAGCUGCAGGUUGCUGGGUGGGCCCUGUAGACAGACAAACAUGCCCAUCAUAAGUUAAAUACGCCAAACCCUGUAUAGGAGACUCCAUACAGAAUAUAUGCAGCAAGAGGUAAUUUGACACAAAAUCCAAAAAAACUGCAGUUGCCCUUGUUUGCUUGCACAUGAAUGACAAUCAUCCCCCCCUCAAAAUCAGGGGAUCCCCAACCAUCUGUCAAUCUCAGAGUGAUGGACGCGACUGUGUAGAUACCUGUAGUCACAGCUAUCACCUCCCAAGCAGAAAAAGCAUGCCCGGGGACCGAACUCAGGUCGGAACUAGGAUACUAGCCUAUACCAACCCGUUCUAUCAUGACUUCCCCAGAGAACAUCUCACCAAUCCCAAGUCUUAGCUCCGUGUAUGACCUAGUAACCAACAUGCUUGCUCAACGGCUUUUUCCUGUUUGAACCUGGGUAGUUGCCUUAAUCAACCUGUUACAUCAUGAUUUCCUCCAGAGAACAACUCACCAGUGGUCACUAUUCAUGUGUCAUGCUUAGUGAUAUGAGCCAGUAGCCAACAUACGCCUCCAUCCUCAACGGCUUCCAAACCGGCACCCAUAUCUCAGGCAGAGCGGCAUCAUGCUUAUGUCACCUUUCUUCAUCGUAGGCAGAGCUUUGGUGGAUGAUGCCGUCUGCAGCUCCCGUUUCUCGCUUCUGUACACAUGCCUGCUGAAGCAAGUUUACCAUAUGGGGUUGCAACCCCCUCAUUUGAGUCCCGCAGAUCAUGCAAGCAAGCAGUUGCAAUGUCUAGCAUGCAAGCCCAAUUUUACUACUUCUCAUGAGACAACAUCAUACCUUGGGUUGUUGCUUGGGUUUGGUGCUGCCCAGAUGUGCAGCCAUGGCAUGAGGAGCGUGGUCGCGAUGGUGAAGUCCUAUGUUGCCAAGUUGCCAUAGAACUCGGCAAAGUCGUCAUAUUUCAUUCCACUGACGGCCAGGAAUUCCUCAAACGCUUUGGUGGCCUUAUCACCAGCAGCACUGCAAACGUUGCUGGGCACGUUUAAAAUGUACCGCUCAUCUGAUGAACCAGUGCAAUGGCUGAUGAUGCCACUCACUUGUCAUUCGUUGGCUGCAUCAUAGCUGCAGCUGGACCUCGUGCAUCCUGCGCCUAUUGUCCGACGGCUGCGUGGGCUGCAUCCCGAAUCCACCCACAAAAUCAUCAUUGGCUUCCAUUGUGAUAUUACCUCUUAAGCAUCUUUAG
RNAcentral lists this long non-coding RNA (1668 nucleotides) under Volvox carteri. Its description in RNAcentral is "long non-coding RNA (VCAR_LNC003573)". Lineage: Eukaryota; Viridiplantae; Chlorophyta; Chlorophyceae; Chlamydomonadales; Volvocaceae. The record is from RNAcentral.